GACGAACGCUGGCGGCGUGCUUAACACAUGCAAGUCGAACGGAAAGGCCCUGCUUUUGUGGGGUGCUCGAGUGGCGAACGGGUGAGUAACACGUGAGUAACCUGCCCUUGACUUUGGGAUAACUUCAGGAAGCUGGGGCUAAUACCGGAUAGGAGCUCCUGCUGCAUGGUGGGGGUUGGAAAGUUUCGGCGGUUGGGGAUGGACUCGCGGCUUAUCAGCUUGUUGGUGGGGUAGUGGCUUACCAAGGCUUUGACGGGUAGCCGGCCUGAGAGGGUGACCGGCGGCGUCGUGGCGGGGGUACGGCACCGGCUCGUGCGGGCGGCAUGAUGGUGGUGUGUGGGGCGACGGGCGGGAGCCUGAGGCGGGAGGGCGGGUUGAGGGAUGGCGGCCGUCGGGUUGUAGUACGGUUUCGCCGUGGAGGAAGCGGGAGGGAGGGGGGUGGGCAAAGAGGGACCGGAUAACGACGCGCCGGCGGCCGCGGUGAUAAAGGGAGGAGCGCUCGUCUGCUC
RNAcentral lists this ribosomal RNA (509 nucleotides) under uncultured bacterium. Its description in RNAcentral is "partial 16S ribosomal RNA". The stretch from base 21 to 327 matches the Rfam family "Bacterial small subunit ribosomal RNA", at positions 48 to 357 of the family's 1533-position model. The record is from RNAcentral.